GACGAACGCUGGCGGCGUGCCUAAUACAUGCAAGUAGAACGCAGUUGCGAACGGGUGAGUAACGCGUAGGUAACCUGCCUCAUAGCGGGGGAUAACUAUGGGAAACGAUAGCUAAUACCGAAUACUGUGAGAUGGAUCUGCGUUGUAUUGGCUAGUGGGUGAGGUAAAGGCUCACCAAUGCGACGAUACAUAGCCGACCUGAGAGGUGUAUCGGCCACACUGGGAGUGAGACUAGGCCCAGACUCCUACGGGAGGCAGCCGUAGGGAAUCUUCGGCAAUGGACGGAAGUCUGACCGGGCAACGCCGCGUGGGUGAAAAAGGUUUUCGGAUCUUAAGGCUCUGUUGUGAGAGAAGGGGUGGCUAACCAGAAAGGGACGGCUAACUACGUGCCAGCGGCCGCGGUAAUUC
This 408-nucleotide ribosomal RNA is filed under the name uncultured bacterium. Its description in RNAcentral is "partial 16S ribosomal RNA". It matches the Rfam family "Bacterial small subunit ribosomal RNA", at positions 28 to 526 of the family's 1533-position model. The record is from RNAcentral.